AACGAACGUUGGCGGCGUGGAUGAGGCAUGCAAGUCGCGCGUGAAAGUUCCUUCGGGAACGAGUAAAGCGGCGGACGGGUGAGGAAUACGUAAUCAAGCUGCCCCCGAGACGGGGAUAAC
Molecule: ribosomal RNA, 120 nt
Filed under: uncultured bacterium
Lineage: Bacteria
Description: partial 16S ribosomal RNA
Rfam family: Bacterial small subunit ribosomal RNA
Source: RNAcentral